GACAGGGUGGUGGUUCCUGAGGGUUUGUGCUAUGGGGAUGGAGCUGCUCCGCGAAGGGGUUGUGGGCUGUGCCCAGCGGGAGGAAGGCGCUGCUGCUGGGAGUUCAGGAUGAGGCAGGUGGGGUUCAGCUGCUUUUCAGCAAUGCGAUUGACAGACAGGUAAGUUGUUUGCCCCAGGUGUGGGACCACCAGGAAUAUUAAGGCGGGGAUUUUAGGGAGAGGACACACGACAUGGGAUGGACACGAUGCUGGUUCUCCAAGUGAGGUGUCUGGCGGGGUAGUGCAGUAACACCUAUUCCUCCUCUGGUGUCCUUUGCCGGGAUGUUGCCUGGCUGCUUGUUGCCCAGAGUGAAUUUUAUAGAGGUUAUUUGGUUUUCCACUCUCUUAGAUGCAUCCCUAGAUGAAUAAAUGCUACACUGCUGGGAAGUAGCUAAUUACCUUUCCCUGACGGUGGCAGAGGGGUAGUUUCAUAUGGCCUAAAUGAAGUUUACAACACCUUCAUGUGAUUCUGCCUUUUUUCACAUCACCAUAGGUACCUGAGAACCAAGGACACCAUUGCAACUUUGGGCCCAAAAUGUGUAAACAACAGUGAAUUGAGGAGAGCAAUCUGGGAGGAUGGGACUUCAUCACCUGAAGCUGUAAUUGGACAAUUAACCCCAAUAUGGAAAUGGACCAUGAAAACUCAUGACUGGUUGUCCAUCUUGGGUCUGUCUUCGGUAGAGCCACGGCUGGGCUCUUGUACUGCCCAAGGUGUAUCCUUUGAAGGCCUUUAAUAAAUACCUGCUUUAUUCCUUUAACUCUGUCUAGCCUCAGUUCC
Long non-coding RNA from Vidua chalybeata, 816 nucleotides. RefSeq lists it as uncharacterized. Lineage: Eukaryota; Metazoa; Chordata; Aves; Passeriformes; Viduidae. The record is from RefSeq and is a predicted model, not a curated record. The transcript has 3 exons.